This 465-nucleotide ribosomal RNA is filed under the name Vreelandella stevensii. RNAcentral's name for it is "partial 16S ribosomal RNA". It matches the Rfam family "Bacterial small subunit ribosomal RNA", at positions 338 to 795 of the family's 1533-position model. Lineage: Bacteria; Pseudomonadati; Pseudomonadota; Gammaproteobacteria; Oceanospirillales; Halomonadaceae. The record is from RNAcentral.
CCUACGGGUGGCAGCAGUGGGGAAUAUUGGACAAUGGGCGAAAGCCUGAUCCAGCCAUGCCGCGUGUGUGAAGAAGGCCUUCGGGUUGUAAAGCACUUUCAGUGGGGAAGAAAGCCUUGGGGCUAAUACCCUCGAGGAAGGACAUCACCCACAGAAGAAGCACCGGCUAACUCCGUGCCAGCAGCCGCGGUAAUACGGAGGGUGCGAGCGUUAAUCGGAAUUACUGGGCGUAAAGCGUGCGUAGGCGGUCUGAUAAGCCGGUUGUGAAAGCCCCGGGCUCAACCUGGGAACGGCAUCCGGAACUGUCAGGCUAGAGUGCAUGAGAGGAAGGUAGAAUUCCCGGUGUAGCGGUGAAAUGCGUAGAGAUCGGGAGGAAUACCAGUGGCGAAGGCGGCCUUCUGGACUGACACUGACGCUGAGGUGCGAAAGCGUGGGUAGCAAACAGGAUUAGAUACCCGUGUAGUC